AGGACUGGGUAAGGGGAGUUCAGCACAACUCUCGUGAGAGGCUGCAGCCUCCUCCACUUUGUGAUCUCCUCCCUGCUUCCCUGGGAGGGAUGGAUGAGAUAAUACCUAUGGAUACAGUGGCAGGAAGGCAUCUGGAUUGGAAUCAGGACUCCAGACAGACAAGUCCUGGUUGAGUGGGUGCAGUGUGUGAUAACCCAGGUGCCAGAGGGAUGUGGGCUUGCCCUGGGGCAUUCUCAUGGACACUGAGGUUUCCAGCCUUAUUGCACCAUGGGGAUUUCUCUUAUGUUUUUUGUCUGUUUUGUAAGAUAGCUGGUAAUACUCAAGGAUCAAUAGGGCCUUUGUACCCUUCCACCUUCCCCAGGUGCUCCCCUCCGUCUGAUGCCAGUGGACGUGUUUUGAACAAAGCACAGAGACUCGGCCCACUCGCGC
Molecule: long non-coding RNA, 429 nt
Organism: Numida meleagris (helmeted guineafowl)
Lineage: Eukaryota; Metazoa; Chordata; Aves; Galliformes; Numididae
Exons: 3
Source: RefSeq, a predicted model, not a curated record